UACAGGAGAAGCACAAGUGUCUGUUGAUUU
This 30-nucleotide non-coding RNA is filed under the name Rattus norvegicus (Norway rat). The record is from RNAcentral. Lineage: Eukaryota; Metazoa; Chordata; Mammalia; Rodentia; Muridae.